RNAcentral lists this ribosomal RNA (404 nucleotides) under uncultured prokaryote. RNAcentral's name for it is "bacterial SSU rRNA". It matches the Rfam family "Bacterial small subunit ribosomal RNA", at positions 355 to 776 of the family's 1533-position model. The record is from RNAcentral. RNAcentral also lists the same sequence under 1 other name.
UGGGGGAUAUUGCGCAAUGGGGGAAACCCUGACGCAGCAACGCCGCGUGAAGGAUGAAGGUUUUCGGAUUGUAAACUUCUUUGACGAGGGACGAUAAUGACGGUACCUCGAGAACAAGCCACGGCUAACUACGUGCCAGCAGCCGCGGUAAUACGUAGGUGGCGAGCGUUGUCCGGAUUUACUGGGUGUAAAGGGCGAGUAGGCGGGGAUCCAAGUCCGAUGUGAAAUGCAGGGGCUCAACCCCUGAGCUGCAUCAGAAACUGGAUUUCUUGAGUGAUGGAGAGGCAGGCGGAAUUCCUAGUGUAGCGGUGAAAUGCGUAGAUAUUAGGAGGAACACCAGUGGCGAAGGCGGCCUGCUGGACAUAAACUGACGCUGAGGCGCGAAAGCGUGGGGAGCAAACAGG